Salvia splendens (bonfire salvia) is the source of this 2967-nucleotide RNA transcript. It is a transcript of the gene named barley B recombinant-like protein D, with no coding region annotated. Lineage: Eukaryota; Viridiplantae; Streptophyta; Magnoliopsida; Lamiales; Lamiaceae. The transcript is spliced from 2 exons. The record is from RefSeq and is a predicted model, not a curated record.
GUCGGCACCUCCGCGCUGAUCAAAGGCCAUUGAAAAUCAAACUCUGAAUCGGUUCAGAUCAAACACUGCAGACAAGUAUAUUGCAGUCAAAUUGAUUCGAAGUGAAUGUUGAUACAAAACAUACCGAAAUUGUCGCCCUAUCCGAAGUGAAUGUUGAUAGAAUACAUACCUUGACGCAGCCCGUUAUCGGAAGUUGAUUCGGGAGAAGCGGUCCUCCGAUUUUUGUGAAGCGGGAGUUUGGCGCGCGUAGACUACAUUCUUGGGGUUUGGUUGAAAUGAGUUUCCAUCUUUGUAUACUUAAUUGUUUCUUUGAGUUAAUUAUUUGUUGGGUGCUUUUAUCAAGUCGAUGCAUGUUAUGUUUUUCGUAAUGUGUUAUGUGGUAAGCUCUUGGGUGCUCCAAUUUUAGCUGAGAAUUGGAGAUUAAGUUCUUAAAUUUUAUGACUAUUUAGUUAUUGAUGUUUCUUGGGACAAAUGAUUGGUUUCCAGCGGUUAGAGUGACCACAUAGUGAUAGUAGUCAUGCUUUAAGCUGAUUUGCAAAAGAUUGGGUAUUGAAGAGAAUCAAUGUUCUUCUUUCGAGAAUCAACCCUGUGAUGAGAAUGUAGUUUACGAACAUGUGCAAAUAUUAGUGUGUUUUAGACUUCAUCAAUUAUCUGAGUUGAGCUUCAUGUUGCAUUGGGGUUUCUGAGGAGGGAAGCGAAGACAGUUGCUUUUGAUUUGUAUUUUGUUAUGGUCGGUGAUUCUUUCAUGUGACUCGAACUCCACUUUUAUUGUCUUUCCUUGGACACUCAGAUUGAGCUUUAAAGGAACAACUUGUGCGCAACAUGCCUGCCGUUGUGACUUGUGCUUGUGCGCACAUGUGUGAAAGAUAGGUUCAUGUACGAAAACCCAACACAAUGAUCAAGGGCUAGGCCUUUAAAUUCUAAAACACUGGGGCAGCUACUAGUUGUUCUUUUUGUUAGAAGCCCAAACUCGACUUAGCAUAUAUUCUUAGUUAACUAAUGGCCGUUAAUACUCCUUUUGUUUUCAUUUAUAAAUUUUUAUGUGAAGCAUUAAUAACCAACUGGUAUGGAUGUCUUAACAAGCCUAAAUCUGCAUAAGUGCAAGCCUUCAGUGACAAAAUUUUCGGGUUGAAACUCAAAGCUAAAUUCAACUAGAUUUACACUUCAAAAUCAAAACUAAUCUGUAUAGUAUUAUAAAGUACUAGUUGAUUUACCAAAUUAUAUCUAAAGAUCAAAAUGAUAAGAAAAGCGGAAUGAUCAGUCCUUCAAGCUGUCUGAAACUUUUUGUUGCUAUGAUCACACGUCAUUAAUCUAGAAUGUUGAGCUUGUAUCACUCAACUUACAGUCAUGGAUUAGAGGUUUGAGGUUAUUUAGAAUCUGCAGUACUAAAGUGCUAGGUUCAUUUGCUCAUGCCAUUUUAAACUUUACAAAUACAAUUAUGCAAAUAUGAUAUGGUUGACGUAUAGGAGCUGUGUAAAUCACUUUCUUUGAUAUUUUAUGCUAUGGGAGCUGAUUUAUUGCAAAAUUCAUGUGAUGUCAUGCUGAGUCUGUGAUUAUGCUACAGCCUAAAUUUAUCAUACCUAUUAUAUUUGGUGUAACAUUAAGAAAGGUUCUUGAGUCUUGACAGGGGUGGAGCCAGAAAAUUAUGUUUAAAGGGCAAAUAUAAAUAUGAGAGAAUUAUAAGAAUUUGAAGAGGAGCAUUUAGUGAAUAAAUUGACAUAAUAUUUUUUUAUAAUCAGAAUCUAAUAUUGUAAAUAUGUGCUUCUUUUUUGUAUGGAAGUGGCAUUGCACCAAUGACACUUAAAUGUUUUUAUUAGCCUUUUGAUGGAUGCAAUAAUAACCUUCCAUCAACUAGUGAGACAUGCUAUUCAUUUGAUCAUAUUUUUACUGAGAUUAGUGCUACUUUUUUGGAUCAUCUUAGAAGUAAGCAUGUGUAACUUUGUAAGAUUCCUAUCAGAUUUACUUGUCACUAACCAUAUGUGUGUUAUACUAUUAUCUGAAUCCACAAUUUUAUCAUGUACUUAGACCAUGUUAGCGCUGUUUUGUUCAUCUUUUUCAUGAAAUUUUCUUGCAGUAUACAAUUAUUAUGUAUCUGUAUCCUUGUUAUAAUCUUCAGUAGAAUGGGGAAUCGGUUUAGUUGGCAUUUGCAUUAGCAGAUUGUUAUAUUGUGGAUCUCAGAUGGACGACAGUGGGCAUUGCGACAAUGGAAGGCGUCAAACACCUCAGGGUCAGUAGUUGAUGCAGCGAUGAUCUUAACAGGCAACUUGACAGGGGAAACCUGAUUGGAAGGAUAAAGAUCUUGGUCUGAAUCAGGUGGCUUUUGAUGAGUCGACCAUGCCCGUGCCAGUCUGUUCGUGCACUGGGGUCCUAAGACCGUGCUAUAAAUGGGUCAACGGUGGGUGGCAAUCACCAUGUUGCACAACCAAUUUGUCGAUGUAUCCAUUCCCAGCUGUGCCCAGCAAGCGACACGUUCGUGUUGGUAGUAGGAAGAUGAGCAGAAGUGCAUUCAACAAGCUACUCAGUCGACCCGCUGCAGAAGGUUAUGAUUUAUCCACCCCGGUUGAUCUCAAAGAGCACUCUGGGCAAAGCACGGGAGGACAAACCGUUACAUCACCAUCAAGUAAGUAUUCUCAACGAGAGGAUCAUUUCUUAAGAGAAAGUAAAGAAACGAGAUCUUUCUCGAAAAGCUACCCAUCAUUCCUAAUAAUAUUUGGUGUAACACUGGAGAGGUGUAUUCAAUAACUGACUUAGGUAAACAGGAAGGUACACUUCACUUAGUGAUCAUGCUAGAUUGAUGAUACCUAUUUCUUAGUCCUCUAAGGGCUAAAGAUGUGUGAGAUUGUUGAUUAGAUGAAGAAAUGGAAUUUAUGUAGAUGAGAAAUUUACAUCUUGUUUGCAUGUUAGUGGGUAUAAUUGUAAAGUAGAGACAUGAAAUUUUUAAAUGGUAGUAGUAUCUUAUUGUAUCAA